Molecule: ribosomal RNA, 497 nt
Filed under: uncultured bacterium
Lineage: Bacteria
Description: partial 16S ribosomal RNA
Rfam family: Bacterial small subunit ribosomal RNA
Source: RNAcentral
GAUGAACGCUGGCGGCGUGCCUAAUACAUGCAAGUCGAGCGAACAGACGAGGAGCUUGCUCCUCUGACGUUAGCGGCGGACGGGUGAGUAACACGUGGAUAACCUACCUAUAAGACUGGGAUAACUUCGGGAAACCGGAGCUAAUACCGGAUAAUAUAUUGAACCGCAUGGUUCAAUAGUGAAAGACGGUUUUGCUGUCACUUAUAGAUGGAUCCGCGCCGCAUUAGCUAGUUGGUAAGGUAACGGCUUACCAAGGCGACGAUGCGUAGCCGACCUGAGAGGGUGAUCGGCCAAACUGGAACUGAGACACGGUCCAGACUCCUACGGGAGGCAGCAGUAGGGAAUCUUCCGCAAUGGGCGAAAGCAUGACGGAGCAACGCCGCGUGAGUGAUGAAGGUCUUCGGAUCGUAAAACUCUGUUAUUAGGGAAGAACAAAUGUGUAAGUAACUAUGCACGUCUUGACGGUACCUAAUCAGAAAGCCACGGCUAACUACGUG